Molecule: ribosomal RNA, 666 nt
Filed under: uncultured Micromonosporaceae bacterium
Lineage: Bacteria; Bacillati; Actinomycetota; Actinomycetes; Micromonosporales; Micromonosporaceae
Description: bacterial SSU rRNA
Rfam family: Bacterial small subunit ribosomal RNA
Source: RNAcentral
CUUUGGGAUAACCCUCGGAAACGGGGGCUAAUACCGAAUAGGACUUCUGGCCGCAUGGCUGGUGGUGGAAAGUUUUUCGGCUUGGGAUGGGCUCGCGGCCUAUCAGCUUGUUGGUGGGGUGAUGGCCUACCAAGGCGACGACGGGUAGCCGGCCUGAGAGGGCGACCGGCCACACUGGGACUGAGACACGGCCCAGACUCCUACGGGAGGCAGCAGUGGGGAAUAUUGCACAAUGGGCGGAAGCCUGAUGCAGCGACGCCGCGUGAGGGAUGACGGCCUUCGGGUUGUAAACCUCUUUCAGCAGGGACGAAGCGUAAGUGACGGUACCUGCAGAAGAAGCGCCGGCCAACCACGUGCCAGCAGCCGCGGUAAGACGUAGGGCGCGAGCGUUGUCCGGAUUUAUUGGGCGUAAAGAGCUCGUAGGCGGCUUGUCGCGUCGACCGUGAAAACCUGGGGCUCAACCCCAGGCCUGCGGUCGAUACGGGCAGGCUAGAGUUCGGUAGGGGAGACUGGAAUUCCUGGUGUAGCGGUGAAAUGCGCAGAUAUCAGGAGGAACACCGGUGGCGAAGGCGGGUCUCUGGGCCGAUACUGACGCUGAGGAGCGAAAGCGUGGGGAGCGAACAGGAUUAGAUACCCCUGGUAGUCCACGCUGUAAACGUUGGGCGC